Molecule: long non-coding RNA, 431 nt
Filed under: Brassica napus (rape)
Lineage: Eukaryota; Viridiplantae; Streptophyta; Magnoliopsida; Brassicales; Brassicaceae
Description: long non-coding RNA (BNAP_LNC004161)
Source: RNAcentral
CAAUCGAUUUAGUUUGCUCGAAAACUCAUUACUCGUUUUCGGUUUCAAUUCGUUUUCGUUUUCGGUUUCAAUCGAUGUAGUUAGUGUUUCAAUUCAUUUUCAGUUUCAAACGAACUUCUAGUUUGUUCUUACGGUUUCAAAACACCAAUUGUCCCACCAAUAAUCAACUACUUAUACAAAAGCCCUUAGCUCAGUUUCUAAACACAAAAAUAAUAAUAAAAAAUAAUAAGGGCCCUUAAUCAAAUCCCUCCAAAUACUAAGCACACAUGUAAACGGCGAGAUAUAGCACAUAAUGGAUGGAAGAUAUAUACGUAAGCAGAGAGUAAGAAAUGUGAACGAGACUCAAAAGUUCAAAACUCUAUACAUUACCAAUUACAAAAUGUGUUCCCCAGGAGUCGAUUCCAAUAAAAAGCUAUUCGAUUUGACCCUUA